UACGGGGGGGGCAAGCGUUGUUCGGAAUUACUGGGCGUAAAGGGCUCGUAGGCGGCCAACUAAGUCACACGUGAAAUCCCUCGGCUCAACCGGGGAACUGCGUGUGAGACUGGAUGGCUUGAGUUUGGGAGAGGAAUGCGGAAUUCCAGGUGUAGCGGUGAAAUGCGCAGAUAUCAGGAGGAACACCAAUGGCGAAGGCAGCUCGCUGGAACGGUACUGACGCUGAGACGCGAAAGCGUGGGGAGCGAACAGG
Molecule: ribosomal RNA, 253 nt
Filed under: uncultured bacterium
Lineage: Bacteria
Description: partial 16S ribosomal RNA
Rfam family: Bacterial small subunit ribosomal RNA
Source: RNAcentral